AACCCAAUGUGAACGUUACCAAACUGUUGCCUCGGCGGGGUCACGCCCCGGGUGCGUAAAAGCCCCGGAACCAGGCGCCCGCCGGAGGAACCAACCAAACUCUUUCUGUAGUCCCCUCGCGGACGUAUUUCUUACAGCUCUGAGCAAAAAUUCAAAAUGAAUCAAAACUUUCAACAACGGAUCUCUUGGUUCUGGCAUCGAUGAAGAACGCAGCGAAAUGCGAUAAGUAAUGUGAAUUGCAGAAUUCAGUGAAUCAUCGAAUCUUUGAACGCACAUUGCGCCCGCCAGUAUUCUGGCGGGCAUGCCUGUCCGAGCGUCAUUUCAACCCUCGAACCCCUCCGGGGGAUCGGCGUUGGGGAUCGGGACCCCUCACCGGGUGCCGGCCCUGAAAUACAGUGGCGGUCUCGCCGCAGCCUCUCCUGCGCAGUAGUUUGCACAACUCGCACCGGGAGCGCGGCGCGUCCACGUCCGUAAAACACCCAACUUCUGAAAUGUUGACCUCGGAUCAGGUAGGAAUACCCGCUGAACUUAAGCAUAUCAAUAAGCGGAGGAA
Molecule: ribosomal RNA, 553 nt
Filed under: Trichoderma hamatum
Lineage: Eukaryota; Fungi; Ascomycota; Sordariomycetes; Hypocreales; Hypocreaceae
Description: eukaryotic LSU rRNA
Rfam family: 5.8S ribosomal RNA (bases 166-319)
Source: RNAcentral